This 744-nucleotide long non-coding RNA is filed under the name Notechis scutatus (mainland tiger snake). Its description in RNAcentral is "lncRNA (ENSNSUG00000004634.1)". The record is from RNAcentral. Lineage: Eukaryota; Metazoa; Chordata; Lepidosauria; Squamata; Elapidae.
CUGUUUUUAACCCAGUUAUUUCUUGCAGCCAAAUCCUUAUUUUGUUCCCAAAUUUAUUUGCUUUAGAGCACAACCACCACAUAUGAAAGAAGGUGUCUUUUUACAUUUUGGAUUCAAAUUUGAGUAGAUUUUGGCCAGUCUCGCUGGGAGAAGCACCAGCAGUCUCAUUCCUUUCUCUCUCCCUCUCCCUCUCUCUCUCUUGUGAAGGUCAGUCCUCCAGCCUCUCUUUCAGGAGGAAGCCCUGAGCCCGAAAGACAGGGCACCUGAGGUAAUCCGCUCUGGAGCUCCCUUGGGUGCUGAUCUACCUGUUUCUGGGGACCAGCACGAAGAGCCUGAUGCCGAGGUGGCCCACCUGGAGGAGAACUUCUCUCAGAACGGGUCGCUGCCCCAGACACCGGAGCCAGAGAGAUACCUCAAGAACCACUUUGAAACGCUGGCUGGCGACCCCCUUGGAGAAACGUUUGACGGUUGCAUCAGAGACCAGCAGUCAUUUGGAGAGAGUGAGGAUGGAGGGAGCCCGCUUCUGAAUCCCCGCCUGAGCAUCUCCGCCAGGUUUCUCUCGCGCGCCCAGAAGAACUGCAGAUUUGCGGCGGCGUUUUUCCCAAGAGUCUGCCCGCUGGUGCAGGCAGCCACUGCUGAACACCCAUCAGAGGAGUGCGUACCACUCAGCGAUUUCACGAAAUUCAAGGCAAGUUAUUGUGGUGCAAAUCUUUUAACAGCCACCCACAAAAAUCGCUGUGCAGC